UGUAGUACAUACAUACAUAUGU
RNAcentral lists this microRNA (22 nucleotides) under Drosophila melanogaster (fruit fly). Its description in RNAcentral is "dme-miR-9388-3p". Lineage: Eukaryota; Metazoa; Arthropoda; Insecta; Diptera; Drosophilidae. The record is from miRBase by way of RNAcentral.